Long non-coding RNA from Cyprinus carpio carpio, 1033 nucleotides. The record is from Ensembl. Lineage: Eukaryota; Metazoa; Chordata; Actinopteri; Cypriniformes; Cyprinidae.
CUGAAAUGCUGAGAGGACAUAGAGCUGUCUAAAUGUGCAUAACGCAAACCACAUCUUGGAUAACAUUUUACCCACAGGACCCAGAUGCAGCUGAAAUUAGUGAAGGAGCGGCGCGUGAUGACUGGAUGAACAUCGUCCUGCUCCUGAACACAACAACCCUUCAACAAUUACCAUGGUAACCACAGUUCCUCCCUAAAUACCACAGCCCCCUACAGGGUCUGUGAGUUUUGCUAUAGCCUACCCCAAAGGUGCAGGUGAGCCCAGACUGAUCUAAGAUCAGAGACGCAGCCACAGGUGAGCCCUCUAACAUGAUUCCAUGUCCUCAGGCUAUGAAGUCUGAGCCGAGCUUUGGAGGGGCAAGAGGUGUAAAGGGAUAAAUGGAAACCGAAUUCAACAGGCUGCUGCCAAGCGUGGUGUCAUCAGCCAAUGCCACACAGGCACCUUUUUCUCCCUGACAGAAGCUGUUCAAGGCAUUUUUUCACCUUCUUAUCUUCUUUUUUAAUCCUUCAAGGACAGGAAGAGCUCUAAUGGGAGAAUAAAGCAUGUGACAUCUACACAUUUUUAUUUAAAAAAAAUGAACAUCACUGCUUGAGACUUUUGAAAGAACCCUUUUUUUUGUGGGAUUUAGCCAUCACUCUCGGUUCUGAGAGAACAACUCGUGUUAUUGACACCACAAGCACCUUUCUAACCCUUCAACACACUCAUUUGGAUGUGUGAGACCAAUCACUAUCAUUCUGCCUGAAUCCUUUAAUAUCAUUUCCGGACUUUCAUCAAGUUUUUGGCUGGUACAUUUGGUUUAGGGAAUCAGAUGGUAUUUGUUACACAAAGAGAGUUGCUCGCACAACCGGAGCUGUUAAUUAUGAUUGGUUUGUUAUUGCUCACCAGAGCAUAACAAAUCGCCAUUAUGUUGUUUUGCUGAGUCUAAUUUAAUUGUAACAAAAGUAAUUAUCCCUCAUUUAUAUUGAUGCCAUAAGCAGAAGUAAGAGAGCACCUGCUGCCAUAAGCCUGUUGUAUACUAAAAAUAAACCUGGUG